CUCCGGUUGAUCCUGCCGGACCCGACUGCUAUCAGAGUGAGAUUAAGCCAUGCGAGUUAACGUAGCAAUACGUGGCGCACGGCUCAGUAACACGUAGUCAACAUGCCCAGAGGACGUGGAUAACCUCGGGAAACUGAGUCUAAACCGCGAUAAGUGAGGAUUUCUGGAAUGGUUCCUGACUAAAAUCUAUAUGGCCUCUGGAUUGGACUGCGGCCGAUCAGGCUGUUGGUGAGGUAAUGGCCCACCAAACCUGUAACCGGUACGGGCUCUGAGAGGAGGAGCCCGGAGAUGGGCACUGAGACAAGGGCCCAGGCCCUAUGGGGCGCAGCAGGCGCGAAACCUCUGCAAUAGGCGAAAGCCUGACAGGGUUACUCUGAGUGACUUUCGCUAAGAAAGUCUUUUGGCACCUCUAAAAAGGGUGCAGAAUAAGGGGUGGGCAAGUCUGGUGUCAGCCGCCGCGGUAAUACCAGCACCCCGAGUGGUCGGGACGAUUAUUGGGCCUAAAGCAUCCGUAGCCGGUUCUGCAAGUCCCCCGUUAAAUCCAGCUGCUCAACAGAUGGGCCGCGGAGGAUACUACAGAGCUAGGAGGCAGGAGAGGCAAGCGGUACUCAGUGGGUAGGGGUAAAAUCCGUUGAUCCAUUGAAGACCACCAGUGGCGAAGGCGGCUUGCCAGAAUGCGCUCGACGGUGAGGGAUGAAAGCUGGGGGAGCAAACCGGAUUAGAUACCCGGGUAGUCCCAGCCGUAAACGAUGCAGACUCGGUGAUGGGUUGGCUUCGCGCUAACCCAGUGCCGCAGGGAAGCCGUUAAGUCUGCCGCCUGGGCAGUACGGUCGCAAGACUGAAACUUAAAGGAAUUGGCGGGGGAGCA
This 868-nucleotide ribosomal RNA is filed under the name uncultured archaeon. RNAcentral's name for it is "bacterial SSU rRNA". It matches the Rfam family "Archaeal small subunit ribosomal RNA", at positions 1 to 878 of the family's 1478-position model. The record is from RNAcentral.